CACUUUGGGAGGCUGAGGCGGGUGGAUCACUUGAGGUCAGGAGAUUGAGACCAUCCUGGCCAACAUGGUGGAACCCCGUCUCUACUAAAACUACAAAAAUUAGCCAAGAUCACGCCAUUGCACUCCAGCCUGGAGACAGUGAGACGCUGUCUCAAAAAAAAAAAAAAAAAAAGAUAAAAAGAGUUUUGAGCAAGCUCAAAGACCCGUGUGCCAGCAGUCAGAUGCCCACGUUGGGUGCACAGGCUAAGGCAGCCGGCCCAAUCUGGAAACCAGUCAGGCUUUUGCCAGCCCCUAAUCUAGCUGAUUGGAACAUGUUUGUUGAUACACCAGCUCUGUGAUUUCUCAGGUUUAGAGAACUCUAGAAUUUGAUAGAGUGGGCCGGGGGCAGUGGCUCAUGCCUGUAAUCUCAGCACUUUGGGAGGCUGAGGUAAGCAGAUCACGUGAGGUCAGGAGGUUGAGACCAGCCUGGCCAACAUGGUGAAACCCCGUCUCUACUAAAAAUACAAAAAUUAGCCAGGCAUGGUGGUGCGCGCCUGUAGUCCCACCUACUUGGGAGGCUGAGGAAGGAGAAUUGCUUGAACCUAGGAAGUGGAGGUUGCAGUGAGCCAAGAUCACGCCACUGCACUCCAGCCUGGAGUGGACAGAGACUCCAUCUCAAAAGAAAAAAAAAUUAAUUAAAUUUGAUAGAAUGAUGAUGGGGAUAGAGUGUAAAUUUGCCAAAUUUACCCACGCAACAGACAUGAUUUUACCUAAUACAUGUGAAUUAUGAAGAAUAAACUGAUGAAAAUAGUUUGGGAAUAUAAAACUUAAGAAUACUUGCGCCGGGCACGGUGGCUCACACCUGUAAUCCCAGCACUUUGGGAGGCCGAGGCAGGUGGAUCACGAGGUCAGGAGUUCAAGACUAGCCUGGCCAAGAUGGUGAAACCCCAUCUCUAUUAAAAAUACAAAAAUUAGCCGGGCGUGGUUGUGGGCGCCUGUAAUCCCAGCUACUCAGGAGGCUGAGGCAGAGAAUCGCAUGAGCCCAGGAAGCGGAGGUUGCAGUGAGCCGAGAUUGCGCCACCGCACUCCAGCCUGGGCGACAGAGUGAGACUCCGUCUCAAAAAAAAGAAAAAAAAAAGAAUGCUUUCAUCAGCAAAACAUUGUAACAUUCCCUUUACUUGAGGGCGUCCACAAUACCGUAAGGUUGCGUGAACUGUCCUACUGAAUCUUCAUGGUUGCUUGGAUUUUAAUCACAUCAGAAGAAUUUGAGAGCAUACCAUGGCUGGCAGUCCAUAAAAGACUAGUUAGGAACAUCAGCUUUUAAUCAUCGACCCUGCUUUCAGGUUUCAUUUUAAACUUAUAGAAGAGGGGAAGACAUCAGUGUGCUUAUUUGGCCUUUACUCUAAAUCUUAAAAGGAAGAAAAUUUUAAUAUUUCUUAGUUUGAGCCCAGGCGUGAGCCACCGCGCCCGGCCU
Molecule: long non-coding RNA, 1453 nt
Filed under: Homo sapiens (human)
Lineage: Eukaryota; Metazoa; Chordata; Mammalia; Primates; Hominidae
Description: HSALNT0402617
Source: RNAcentral